UACGAAGGGGGCUAGCGUUGUUCGGAUUUACUGGGCGUAAAGCGCACGUAGGCGGAUCUUUAAGUCAGAGGUGAAAUCCCAAGGCUCAACCUUGGAACUGCCUUUGAUACUGGGGAUCUUGAGUCCGGGAGAGGUGAGUGGAACUGCGAGUGUAGAGGUGAAAUUCGUAGAUAUUCGCAAGAACACCAGUGGCGAAGGCGGCUCACUGGCCCGGUACUGACGCUGAGGCGCGAAAGCGUGGGGAGCGAACAGG
This 253-nucleotide ribosomal RNA is filed under the name uncultured bacterium. RNAcentral describes it as "partial 16S ribosomal RNA". It matches the Rfam family "Bacterial small subunit ribosomal RNA", at positions 524 to 776 of the family's 1533-position model. The record is from RNAcentral.